RNAcentral lists this ribosomal RNA (313 nucleotides) under uncultured Bacillota bacterium. RNAcentral's name for it is "bacterial SSU rRNA". It matches the Rfam family "Bacterial small subunit ribosomal RNA", at positions 28 to 351 of the family's 1533-position model. The record is from RNAcentral. Lineage: Bacteria; Bacillati; Bacillota.
GAUGAACGCUGGCGGCGUGCCUAACACAUGCAAGUCGAGCGAUUUACUUCGGUAAAGAGCGGCGGACGGGUGAGUAACGCGUGGGUAACCUGCCCUGUACACACGGAUAACAUACCGAAAGGUAUGCUAAUACGGGAUAAUGUACUUUUGUCGCAUGGCAAGAGUAUCAAAGCUCCGGCGGUACAGGAUGGACCCGCGUCUGAUUAGCUAGUUGGUGAGGUAACGGCUCACCAAGGCGACGAUCAGUAGCCGACCUGAGAGGGUGAUCGGCCACAUUGGAACUGAGACACGGUCCAAACUCCUACGGAGGCAA